UUUUAUGAUCGAGGAAGCAGAUGU
RNAcentral lists this microRNA (24 nucleotides) under Strongylocentrotus purpuratus (purple sea urchin). RNAcentral describes it as "Spu-Novel-1-P1b_5p (mature (guide))". Lineage: Eukaryota; Metazoa; Echinodermata; Echinoidea; Camarodonta; Strongylocentrotidae. The record is from RNAcentral.